RNA transcript from Andrographis paniculata, 884 nucleotides. RefSeq lists it as uncharacterized. The transcript has 2 exons. The record is from RefSeq and is a predicted model, not a curated record. NCBI's taxonomy places the organism in Eukaryota, Viridiplantae, Streptophyta, Magnoliopsida, Lamiales, Acanthaceae.
GUAACCUCUAUUUCCUUCCAUCUUCUAUUUUCAGUUGCAUGUAAAACAUUUCUUCUUCUUCCUUCCAUCUUCUACCCUAAUUACUGUUUCUUUCUUCUUUCUUACUUUCACCAUUCUUCUUCUUCCCCCAUUCUUUUCUUUUUUCUCCAUCUUUCAUUUCAGUUCUUCCUCUUCCAGCGACAGCAAUGGAUUGGGGGGCAACAGAUUUUCUUUCUUCUUUCCUCUCCCUCGACACAAGGAGAUCCACCGACAACUACCGCCCUUACACCGGAGUGGAUGCAAAAUUGGUCCAAGGCAAGCUUCAAUUUGGGUACGUUGGUUUAAUUUGGGGAUUUUAUCAAUUGGGUGGGUUACGAAGAACAAGAACCCCGAGCGGUCUGAGCGUCAUUUCAGUGCCAAAAUAUGAUUGCCAUUUCCGUGCUGAAAUAUAGGUCCGGAGUAUCUUACUGCACAAGGAGAACGCAUGGUGAUAAUGCUCAUCCGGCAUGUAUUUGCAAUGGAGAAAGUACCUCGUCCCUACAUGAAAACACACUUUUAAAUGUCUAUGAAGAGAUUGAAGAUAUGGUAAGCACAGGAGAUGGAAUCGAGCUCGAACCAUAUGUGUAGUGUUGAGCUCCUCUUCUUGUCCACAUCAUCGUCAUCAUCUUAAGUAUUGUAGAGAUAUUUACAUUGCUCAGAUAGUUAGGAUCCAUGCAACCUAUAAUUCUCUCAACAUAUGUCAAUGCUUUACUUUCUUCCAUGCCUAAUUAACAUCUUUGAGAGUCCAAAGUCAAGAGUUCUGGUGCACAAUAUGCUAUGCUAUGCUGGUGACAAAUUAUUAUUAUCAAGUUUGUAUGUAUUUGACACAUUUAAUAUUGUCGAGCCUGGAUCACAUUGAUGCCAAA